GGGCACUUAGCUCAGUGGCUAGAGCACCUCGCUUACACCGAGGGGGUCGGGGGUUCGAAACCCUCAGUGCCCA
Molecule: transfer RNA, 73 nt
Filed under: Planctomycetota bacterium
Lineage: Bacteria; Pseudomonadati; Planctomycetota
Also listed under: 2 other names
Description: Planctomycetes bacterium tRNA-Val
Rfam family: tRNA
About the family: Transfer RNA (tRNA) molecules are approximately 80 nucleotides in length. Their secondary structure includes four short double-helical elements and three loops (D, anti-codon, and T loops).
Source: RNAcentral